UGUCAAGUCGGAUGUGAAAUCCCCGGGCUCAACCUGGGAACUGCAUUCGAAACUGGCAGGCUUGAGUCUUGUAGAGGGGGGUAGAAUUCCAGGUGUAGCGGUGAAAUGCGUAGAGAUCUGGAGGAAUACCGGUGGCGAAGGCGGCCCCCUGGACAAAGACUGACGCUCAGGUGCGAAAGCGUGGGGAGCAAACAGGAUUAGAUACCCUGGUAGUCCACGCCGUAAACGAUGUCUACUUGGAGGUUGUGCCCUUGAGGCGUGGCUUCCGGAGCUAACGCGUUAA
This 283-nucleotide ribosomal RNA is filed under the name Salmonella enterica subsp. enterica serovar Potsdam. RNAcentral describes it as "partial 16S ribosomal RNA". It matches the Rfam family "Bacterial small subunit ribosomal RNA", at positions 581 to 863 of the family's 1533-position model. The record is from RNAcentral. Lineage: Bacteria; Pseudomonadati; Pseudomonadota; Gammaproteobacteria; Enterobacterales; Enterobacteriaceae. RNAcentral also lists the same sequence under 3 other names.